Molecule: non-coding RNA, 112 nt
Organism: Acanthosepion pharaonis
Lineage: Eukaryota; Metazoa; Mollusca; Cephalopoda; Sepiida; Sepiidae
Source: the annotation of a GenBank genome assembly
UAUGGCGAUAUCAUGUUGAGACACCAAUUCUCGUACAAUCACUGAAGUUAAGUGACAUCAAGCCUGGUCAGUACCUAGAUGGGUGACUACUUGGAAAUACCAGGUGCUGUAA